Molecule: ribosomal RNA, 253 nt
Filed under: uncultured bacterium
Lineage: Bacteria
Description: partial 16S ribosomal RNA
Rfam family: Bacterial small subunit ribosomal RNA
Source: RNAcentral
UACGGGGGGGGCAAGCGUUGUUCGGAAUUACUGGGCGUAAAGGGCGCGUAGGCGGCCUGCUAAGUCGGACGUGAAAUCCCUCGGCUCAACCGAGGAACUGCGUCCGAUACUGGUGGGCUUGAAUCCGGGAGAGGGAUGUGGAAUUCCAGGUGUAGCGGUGAAAUGCGUAGAUAUCUGGAGGAACACCGGUGGCGAAGGCGGCAUCCUGGAGCGGUAUUGACGCUGAGGCGCGAAAGCUAGGGGAGCAAACGGG